UGUAUGAGUUGUGWUUGGGWUGUUUUUGCUGGCUGGCUCCGUGCUCGCGCAUCGAACAGCUCGCAUGCAACCCCUUUUCAAGCACACCUCGCCUGUUGUGGCGGCGGUGCACGAUCGCGGUUCCUGUGUCGCCUACCUCUUGAAUGGUAUUCGUGUGGCCUGUCGGAUUUUGUCCAUCCAGUUCUCCUCCUAGGGGUUCUGGGGGACUUCGAAGCGAUACAUUUGUUCCACGACAGUGGUUUGCUGCUGCAACUACCGUGGUGCAUAUGUAUUUGCUGUCCUCUCGGAUGCGGUCCACGGGGUGAAACAUGGGUAUUUCUCCCAUGCAGUCUCUCUAAUCUCGGUUGCCUUGAAACACACUCGCCUCGGCGCUCGUCUGCACUCCAUUCGUGGGGGCGCAYGCGGGCUCCGAUGAGCGAAGUUGUUAACGGACG
RNAcentral lists this unclassified non-coding RNA (434 nucleotides) under Cytisopsis pseudocytisus. Its description in RNAcentral is "partial external transcribed spacer". Lineage: Eukaryota; Viridiplantae; Streptophyta; Magnoliopsida; Fabales; Fabaceae. The record is from RNAcentral.